GACGAACGCUGGCGGCGUGCUUAACACAUGCAAGUCGAACGGAAAGGCCUGCUUUCCCUUGUGGAUUGCGGGUACUCGAGUGGCGAACGGGUGAGUAACACGUGAGUGAUCUGCCCCCAACUUGGGUAUAAGCCUGGGAAACUGGGUCUAAUUCCCGAUAGGACUGCAGGGUGGUGCCUGUGGUGGAAAACGAUUUUCUAGUGGUUGGGGAUGAGCUCGCGGCCUAUCAGCUUGUUGGUGGGGUAAUGGCCUACCAAGGCGGCGACGGGUAGCCGGCCUGAGAGGGUGGACGGCCACAUUGGGACUGAGAUACGGCCCAGACUCCUACGGGAGGCAGCAGUGGGGAAUAUUGCACAAUGGGCGGAAGUCUGAUGCAGCGACGCCGCGUGGAGGAUGACGGCCUUCGGGUUGUAAACUCCUUUCGACCGCGAGGAAGCCACCUGGUUGGAAGGGUGGUGACGGUAGUGGUAGAAGAAGCACCGGCUAACUACGUG
RNAcentral lists this ribosomal RNA (494 nucleotides) under uncultured bacterium. RNAcentral's name for it is "partial 16S ribosomal RNA". It matches the Rfam family "Bacterial small subunit ribosomal RNA", at positions 28 to 507 of the family's 1533-position model. The record is from RNAcentral.